Molecule: long non-coding RNA, 1723 nt
Organism: Xenopus laevis (African clawed frog)
Lineage: Eukaryota; Metazoa; Chordata; Amphibia; Anura; Pipidae
Exons: 4
Source: RefSeq, a predicted model, not a curated record
CAGCUAGUGAGUGUCUGGCAGGAAGAAGGAGUCGCAGAUACUGGCAAAAGAGAAAAGCCUGGCAGAGAGAACCACAUGGUGGACAGAGAUAGAGACUAGAGAACUGCUGGUGGGCCCAGAGAGCUGAGAGACUCCACCAAAAGCAGACAUUUGGUUCAGGCUGGCACAGAGAAGCCACAUACUGUGCCUGGAGUGUGAAAGGAAUACAGACUGGAGAAACCAACAUCAGCAAGGGAUUUCCAUCUGAGCAUCCAAAGGGGCUUUCCAUCUGAGCAUCCAAAGUAGUCGCACUGUAUGUCUGAAUGUACUGGAGUCAUCUGAAGAGAACUCUCUAAAUCAUCCAAAGAGGGUUUGGAAAAAAGGAAUAGUAUUUGGAGCACCUUUGACAGAAGAAGGAAUUGCAUAAAUUUACCAGCUUAUUGAUUACUGUAUCUACACAAAAAUCUGCGUACUGAGGGAUUGUUUCGUAUUCCAGGGGACAGCCAUCAACAACAAAUUAUUAAAGACUUGCUCAACAGUGGGAUGGAUAUUGAUGUGGAGUCUGGAGAGUUUCAUCCUAAUGAUGUAGCCACUUUACUAAAAAUGUACCUCAGUGAAUUGCCAGAGCCUUUGCUGACACCCAGGCAUUAUAACGCUCAUUUAAAAAUUACCUAAUGCUUUUCGAUGCCAAGUGUAAUAGGACAGGCGUACCAGAUUAAGAGCGACAGAUCGAGGCAUUGCAACUUCUUUUCCUGCUUCUCCUUUCACCAAACAGAAAUCUACUGAAACUACUGCUGGACCUUCUCUAUCAGACAGCCAGAAAACAAGAUCGCAAUAAGAUGUCUGCCCAUAACCUUGCUUUCAUGUUUGCACCUCAUAUAAAAUGCCCUAAAAUGUAGUCAUCAAUAGGAAAAAAAACAUUUUAUUUAAAAAAAUAAUAAUAAUGUUCUUAUUAAUUUGUCUCAAACUCUAUCAAUGUAGAACUACUAGUUUCUAAGCAAUACAAGUAUAGUAUCCAACAUGAGGUAACAAGUAAGAUGCAAGUACAGGAAUUCCAUUUCCUUCCAAGUUUAAACAAACAAUUCUUCAAAUUGUUUUCCUUUAUAAAGAUACUACCAUGACCUGAUGUUAAUUAAGCUAGUAUAAAUCUAUGGUGGCAAAACAAUCCUAUUGUUUAAUUAUAUUAGCCCAAAUGAUGAUCUUUCAUGAAAAAUGCAGAAAACAUGAGGUCUCAGGUGUUAUAAUGGAUCCCAUACAUGUAUUACCUGAAUGUUUGUGAAACAAUAAGCCUUUUUUGAAGAUACAUCACUAUGUUGGCACCUUUGUAUGUGGCUGGUGGGCAGGUUGACUGGUACGUUGCCAGGCGCAAGCCAUGAUACCAACAAACCAUGGGAACUAUAAGAAAGCAAAGCAUUGGCCUUGCCACCAGCCAAAUACACUGUCUAUAGAAGUGUGACUUAAUUUAAAUCUUUGCAUAAUUUGUUCUUUAAAUAGAGAAUAAAGCUGAUUUUAAUGUAAAGUACAGGCAGUUAAUUGCAUUUGUGCAUUUGUUAGGAAUGCACCAAAUACAUAUUUUUUUGAUUUGGCUAAACAAAACAUUUGUCUAAAUACCAAAUCAAUGCUAAACCCUUAAUAUUAAAAUUUCAGGAAAGAAAAAAUUGUAUCAUUGUUGCAUUCCGUUGCUCUAAGUGAGUUUAAGGGGCAGAUUUACUGAGGGUCGAAUAUCGAGGGUUAAUUAACCCUC